This is a non-coding RNA of Delphinapterus leucas (beluga whale), 1327 nucleotides long. NCBI's taxonomy places the organism in Eukaryota, Metazoa, Chordata, Mammalia, Artiodactyla, Monodontidae. The record is from RefSeq and is a predicted model, not a curated record.
UCAUGGGGUUUAGGGCUUCAAUAUAUGAGUCUGAGAGGGGCAUGGUUCUGUCCCUACCAGCUUCUUGUCCUUUCCUGUUUAGUCUGGGCAAAGGGCAAAGUCCAACUUCAGAGAAUCCUACCACAGUUGCUUCAGUGCAUUCCUGAGUGAGGCCGUGGCAUCCCUCUAGGAAAGGGGAUGCUAGGACACAGUGAUGUGGAGGGUGGACACGGCAAGCAAAAGAAUCCCUCCUCCAGGGGAGAAGCAGCGACAGACUUGGGCGGGAGCAGUAAUGAGGAUGAAAUGUCACCGGCACAACCCUGAACCUGGUUUAUAACCUCGGGAAUAAAUGGCGACCGAGGAUUUGUUUACACAGCAGAGGGGAGCUUGAGAUCUGUGGACAUUUACAACUUUCUAAAUGUGUAAUUCCUUCAGGGACAGCAAAAUAACCCACUAUUUUCCAACGCUAUUAAAUAUUGAUAAGUAGGAGAUGGCCUCUCUUUAAAAGCGGAGAUUUUUAAAAGGCGAUUCCUGCGUCGUGGGCCACAGAUUUGAGAGAAUCCCUGACCGCUAUGUUGAAAUAAGUGGCAUUUAGCUGCUCAGCGUGAUGAAGUGCUAAAUGUGGUUUGUGCCAGAUUUAAUUGCCGCUACAGAUGACAGCAAGGCUCUGUCCCUUGGCCUGAACUUGGACUGCAGCUUGGCCGAUUCUGCGGUUUGGUCAUUCUUGCUACGGCUGCGGAUCACUGCAGGAUUGAUUUGAUUGGUAUUGACCGUGAAGAGAGCUCCACGGAACGGUUGGGCUGGACCAAAGUCUAGUUCAGAUGUUCAGUUGAGCUACAACCAUUGUCUAAAUGUAUAUUUUAAAAUACACAUUCCAAACAAAAAAGAACGACGAAGGAGAAAGCAUCGUGAAGAAGAUCUCCGUGGUUUCUUUCUAAGCAAAUCAAACGAGGCAGUAGAACGUCAAGGCUCUUGAGCAGGCGGGUGUUUCUUGAGUGAAGAGCAUAGUACUGAGAAUCCUCCUUCCUUCCUGCGUUGCUGGAACAAGCAUCUAUUGACCCAUCUUGACCAUUUCCUCUCUCUUGAGUAUCCCACCUACAAUGGACCCCGGAUUCUUGGAACCGAAGACCUGUGUCUUCUAGUCUAUGCCCUCUAGAGACACAAAAAUGCACUUACGCUGUGCGGACCACUGGCUUUCCAGGCUUCUCCUUCAUACCAUCCGGCAAGCGAGUCUCCACAGCCACGCCUACACCAUUCUCUGUUCCUUCACUCCCGUGCUGGGAAUGCUAUCGAUCAAGUUCCAGAAGCUCUUGGGAAAACCUGUUGGUAGCACAUAAUAAAUGGAAAA